AAAACUUUCAACAACGGAUCUCUUGGCUCUCGCACCGAUGAAGAGCGCAGCGAAAUGCGAUAACUAAUGUGAAUUGCAGGCAUCGUGAAUCAUCGAGUUCUUGAACGCACAUUGCGCCCUGUGGUAUUCCGCAGGGCAUGCCUGUUUGAGCGUC
RNAcentral lists this ribosomal RNA (154 nucleotides) under Saturnispora bothae. Its description in RNAcentral is "5.8S ribosomal RNA". It matches the Rfam family "5.8S ribosomal RNA". Rfam says of the family: 5.8S ribosomal RNA (5.8S rRNA) is a component of the large subunit of the eukaryotic ribosome. It is transcribed by RNA polymerase I as part of the 45S precursor that also contains 18S and 28S rRNA. Functionally, it is thought that 5.8S rRNA may be involved in ribosome translocation. Lineage: Eukaryota; Fungi; Ascomycota; Pichiomycetes; Pichiales; Pichiaceae. The record is from RNAcentral.